GUACGUAGUUGAUCAGUGCUCAGAACGACGCUGGCGGCAGGCUUAACACAUGCAAGUCGAACGCCCCGCAAGGGGAGUGGCAGACGGGUGAGUAACGCGUGGGAACGUACCUUUCAGUUCGGAAUAACUCAGGGAAACUUGUGCUAAUACCGGAUACGCCCGCAAGGGGAAAGAUUUAUCGCUGAAAGAUCGGCCCGCGUUGGAUUAGCUAGUUGGUGGGGUAAAGGCCUACCAAGGCGACGAUCCAUAGCUGGUCUGAGAGGAUGAUCAGCCACACUGGGACUGAGACACGGCCCAGACUCCUACGGGAGGCAGCAGUGGGGAAUUUUGGACAAUGGGCGCAAGCCUGAUCCAGCCGUGCCGCGUGAGUGAAGAAGGCCUUCGGGUUGUAAAGCUCUUUCAGCCGGGAAGAAAACGCAUGGGUUAAUACCCUGUGUGGAUGACGGUACCGGAAUAAGAAGCACCGGCUAACUACGUG
Molecule: ribosomal RNA, 478 nt
Filed under: uncultured bacterium
Lineage: Bacteria
Description: bacterial SSU rRNA
Rfam family: Bacterial small subunit ribosomal RNA
Source: RNAcentral